RNAcentral lists this small RNA (811 nucleotides) under Pan troglodytes (chimpanzee). Its description in RNAcentral is "retained intron". Lineage: Eukaryota; Metazoa; Chordata; Mammalia; Primates; Hominidae. The record is from RNAcentral.
AUUGUGAAGUUUCAAAGGUAGAAUGGUUCUGACUGAAGACCAGUUGCAAGGAAUUGCCAUGUUUGAGGGUUGUACAGGAGAGUAGAACUAAUUAUUUACCCCUUUAAUGGACUUCUAAAUUGGUUAAUUGCAUAGGCUUAGUCUCUAAAGGAUAGGUAAAAGCUGUAUCUGAGGGACACUGCCUAGCCAUGUAUAGUGCUCCUACUGUUAUGAUGUCGUUUUUUCCGUGGGAGGAGGAUGUUCUUGUUUUUGUAGUUAUUGGAAAUUUUGAAAGUAUGUGGGAUUGGCCCUAAUGGUGAAACUAAUGUUCCUCUUUGUUUUUAGUGGUUACUGCAGCUUCUUUUCACACUAAAGACUCUACUAAUAGAAAACCUUUAACCAAAAGUCAGCCCUGUUUGACAUCCUUUAAUUCUGUGGACAUUGCUUCUUCUAAAGCAAAAAAAGGAAAAGAGAAGGAAAUUGCAAAACUAAAACGACCCACAGCACUUAAAAAGGUUAUUUUAAAAGAAAGAGAGGAAAAGAAGGGUCGCUUAACUGUGGACCACAAUCUUUUGGGAUCCGAGGAACCAACAGAAAUGCACUUAGAUUUUAUUGAUGACUUGCCACAGGAGAUUGUUUCCCAGGAAGGUAAGGAGCUCCCCCUUUCUCCUCUUCUCAUGGAAUGGUCUGAAAUAUUUUAAUAGAUACGUAAGCUAUCACUAGUUAAUGCUCCUGAUUGGAAGACGUGCUCCAUAUUUUACAUAAAUCUCUUUAUUCUUCAGAGUGGUUUCUUUUAAAGAUGUUUUUGUAGGGAGAUGGUUAAAGAGAAGGG